ACUGUAGCGAUCUCGCCUAUAGUGAGUUCCAUUUACCUCGGAACUCGGAAGCCGGAGCUGGGAAGGACGCCACACACAAGUUAAAUGCGUUCCGGAUUUUCAUUUACAAUUUAUCUCUUACAAGUUG
Long non-coding RNA from Etheostoma spectabile (orangethroat darter), 127 nucleotides. RefSeq lists it as uncharacterized. NCBI's taxonomy places the organism in Eukaryota, Metazoa, Chordata, Actinopteri, Perciformes, Percidae. The record is from RefSeq and is a predicted model, not a curated record. The transcript is spliced from 3 exons.